CCUACGGGUGGCAGCAGUGAGGAAUAUUGGUCAAUGGGCGCGAGCCUGAACCAGCCAAGUCGCGUGAGGGAAGACGGUCCUAUGGAUUAUAAACCUCUUUUGUCGGGGAGCAAAAGACGCCACGCGUGGCGUUCCGAGAGUACCCGAAGAAAAAGCAUCGGCUAACUCCGUGCCAGCAGCCGCGGUAAUACGGAGGAUGCGAGCGUUAUCCGGAUGUAUUGGGUUUAAAGGGUGCGCAGGCGGAAGAUGAAGUCAGCGGUAAAAUUGAGAGGCUCAACCUCAUCGAGCCGUUGAAACUGGGUUUCUUGAGUGAGCGAGAAGUAUGCGGAAUGCGUGGUGUAGCGGUGAAAUGCAUAGAUAUCACGCAGAACUCCGAUUGCGAAGGCAGCAUACCGGCGCUCAACUGACGCUCAUGCACGAAAGUGUGGGUAUCGAACAGGAUUAGAUACCCGGGUAGUC
This 459-nucleotide ribosomal RNA is filed under the name uncultured bacterium. RNAcentral's name for it is "partial 16S ribosomal RNA". It matches the Rfam family "Bacterial small subunit ribosomal RNA", at positions 338 to 795 of the family's 1533-position model. The record is from RNAcentral.